UUCAAAUGACUCUUCUACAUGUUGUAGCUUUUGCAGAGGAGACUGAAUGAGGACAUAUGUGCAUCAAACAGAUUUCCAGGAUUUGGGGAGUUUGCUAAGCUGUAAAGGUUUUUGAAAUCCUGUCAGGAGAGUUUGCAAGAAGAUCACAGUUCUAAACCUGGAAAUACUUGGAGACUUGUUCUUUUGGACAGUCCCAUUCUGCUCCAUCUACUAGUACUUGGAAAGGACUUCCAAUGGGUCUCAAGAUAAUUGAAAGCAGAAGCAGCAUUAAGCCUCUCCAGCUCUGAGGACACUCUUAUGAAGGCAAGUCACCACCUUUACAUCCCUUAUAUUUGUCUGCCUCAUCACAAAUGACAAAUACUUUCAGCUCCAAGGACUUACCUUUUUUUGUGUACUUUGCCUGUUUUAGAGGCUGAGAAAAGCAGAGAGUGACACACAGGGACAGGACACAGGAGGCCAGGGCAGGGAAGGGGAAAGUAAUGAAACCUUCUUUAGUGCAAACUUGUAAAGACAAGUGAGUAUCCGAUCUCAGAGGUGGUUAGAGAAAUGUCAUGCCUUAGCCAGACCCCUUCUCUCACCCAGAUACUUUCCAACAAAAGAGCAAAAUGUAAUCGAAUCCCUAUCCUCGGAGUAGUAGGGUUGCUUUCUUUUCAUUUUAUCUGAAGGAAAUCAGAGAAUCCUAGGAUGUUAGAACUAGAUGGGCUCUAAAAUAUUAUUUGGUUUAACGAGAUUGCAAAGGAAAAUUCAGGGCAAUUGAAGGGAAGAAGGCUGUCUAAGAGAACUAUCCAACAAGUGACAGAAGCUUUGAAGAAGAGAUUACAGAAGAAGUGUGAGAAUUAGUUUCCUGAAGGAGCACCUAUAGAUUAAAAAGUAUUUGACCUAUGAAGAACCAGGUUUGGGGAAGAGGCAGAUGGGAACAACAAAAAAGUUGCUUUUCAAUAUGGAGCAGCUAGAAUGGUUCAUUCACACCUUCACUCAACAAAUAAUUGUUGAGCACUUAUACCAGACACUCUUCUAGGUUUGGGGUAUACAACAAGGAACAAAAAAGAUAAAACUCCCUGACUUGAUUGAGUGUACAUUCUAGUUGAGAGAGACAAUGAAUAAGCUGCAUUAAUAGAAAAGGUAAACAGUAUGCUAAAAAUGGUUCUAAGAAGAAAGCACGCAGAAAAAGAGGAUAUCUAAUGUCAGGGGAUAGAAAUGAACUUCUAGACAGGGUGACCAUGGAAGGACUCACUGAACAAACACCCUGUGAAUGAAGACCUGAAGGAACUGAGAAGGUAAACUAGGCAAGGGUGUGGGUCCUGUAACUAUGGAGCAACAGGAUCAAAGGCUCUGACACAAGGUUGUGGUUUGUGUGUUUGGGGAAUAAUUAGGAGGUUAGUGUGACCAGAGUGGAGUGAGCAAGGGAAUGGGUAGUACGGAGUAAACAGAGAAACAAGCUAUGCAGGACCUUAAAAGGCAUAGUAAGAAGACUGGUGCUUAAUGAGGCUGAAAUGAGAAGCUAUAGUUAGCCAAUGUGGUAUUAUAUACCUAAAAAUAUGAGGGUAGAUAUGAUGUUAAAUUUUCUUUUGUAAAAUUUUUAGUUAGAUAAGAUGAACAAAUUUCAUGUAUUUCAUACAUACAGAUUUGGUGUUAAACUUUAUCAUAAAAUAAAAG
This is a non-coding RNA of Oryctolagus cuniculus (rabbit), 1656 nucleotides long. NCBI's taxonomy places the organism in Eukaryota, Metazoa, Chordata, Mammalia, Lagomorpha, Leporidae. The record is from RefSeq and is a predicted model, not a curated record.